AGGACUGGGGUACAAACACAUCUGCUGGACAUUUAUGUCAAAACUAACAAAGCAGGUGUUUUAAGCAUCACCUGUAUACUUCACACUUCCCAUGACUGAUCACUUUGGCAUUAGUAAAAUAUCAUUAGCAAGGUUUUCCUUGCCUUGAUGGAUUUGUCUAGAUCCAGAAGAAACGCCAGGUUAGAACUACCUAAAACAGGCUCAGAAGGGCAUCUUUCCUUCUAUUUUGUGAGCUGAAAAAACCCACAGUAAAACUAAUUUACCUUUCUCCAUGCUGAGAGAAGCGUCAGAGGAAUUAGAUCCCUUCAAUACAUGUAACACUCCCAAGACCAAACAACUGAUCUGAUGAAGCCAGUGAGUGCCAAACAAACUGCUCUGACAGACCUGCCAGAGAAGCUGGGGGUGACGCUGCAGAAACUCAUCCAGGAGCUGGCAGUGAAAGUGUUAGCCAUGACGAAGGGAAGCAGGAAUGUGGGGAGUUUGACUAAGGAUUUCUGGCUGCUGUUAAAACAACAGUUGUUCAGUUGCUGCAGCAACCUAUGAAGUCACUAAAAAUAAGUUCCAGGAGGUAACUGUAUAUGGCAAAGGGCAGCAGCCCACAGAAAAGCUGGAUCUGAAGGAUUACUACUGAAAGUGAAAGGCAAAGAUUCCUGAAACCUCUGUAAAACUAGGCAGAGAAUCAGUAUUUUACUGGGCACUUCAUAAUAUGUAUGACCUCAUGCUUAUCAGAAAACCAAGAAAAUGUUAAACUGAGCUUGGCUUACUAAACUGGCACGAGAAAGGGCAGUGUACAGUACUGAGCCAGCAAACUCAGGUAAGAAGACCUGGGAGAGGAACAGGAUUUGAAAAAGCAGAUGAGUGAGCUGUCCAGAAUUCUCCUACUUGACCUUACUGACUGGGAUCCCUCCCACAGCAGGGUUGGUAGAGACACACAAGAAGGAAGGAACUAUUUUCUUGAAUAAAGGGAGAAAAGGAAGAGAAGAUGAAUAGCUCCUGCUAAAGGAUUACACUGAUGUUCCCCCUGACAGAACAAUCCUUGCCUACAGUCUUCAGUGUACUUAAAAUUCCCUUUUUAUAGCAGAAGACAAACCAUAUCUGCAUAUCUGAUAGAGCACCACAAACCCCCAACAGCCUCCUGCAGACCCCAGAGGAGGCACCAUCCCACAGCCAGGCAGCCCUUCAGCAGCUCUGAGGUAACAAUCCUGUUCAAGGACAGCACAGACACAAUGGAAAAUCCUGAGGUGAGAAAGGAAGAAAAGUACAAGUACUGCUUUUAAAAGGUAAAGCCUAUCCAGCAAGAAUGGCCAGGGUGCAACAGAACUGGGAGUCAGCAAAAGGUGCAGAAGAAAACCAAUCCCUAAGAGCUCAGAUACAAAAGUUAAAUGAUUCAGACAUUUAUUGCCUCUACAAUUAAACACAGAAUAACCUAUACAUGUGCAUGCAUUCCUUCAGAAGAGUUUUUAAAUGCUGCAGUCCCAGAAAAAAUCCACAUAGGAAAUUUCUACACUGGACUACAGAGUGUGGGGAGUUCUGAAAGACAGGGGCUGUUCAAACCCAUCUAAGAACACAGGAGCUUCAGUCCCUCACCCCAAAUUCUUAGUCUGGGUUUGAAAAGCCACCUGGAUUCUGCCCAUGGGGCUGGAGAGCACUGGGGAUCCAAGGGCUGGAGUUAAUGAUUACCAUAAGGGGCCACAGAACUCAGCCAGCUGUGCAGUAGCUCCAAAGGAAUUAAUUCCAGUGGGAGCAGACACUAUAAAGACUGGCAGACAGCCAGACACCCAGCCCUCCAUCACUGAUGCUCAAACAUAAAGCAGAAUACAACUGGUCUCAAGUCUUGUCUCCAAGCAGGCCAAAAAGCACAGAAACCAAUCCAUCCAAGUCCAGGAGACUGCGAGCCAACAAACCCAUUUUGCAAAAGGUAACCUCUACUUGGCAGAUCUGGUGUUUUCUUCACACAGGACUCUCUUGGAAAGAUCUGCUUCCCAGCCACAUCAAUCACAGCCCCCAAAUCCCAGUGAUGUCCUGCUAGGGCUAAGUAAAGGAAUAGAAACUGUUUUCUCACCCUUCAUGUGUUCUUUUUCAGGCAGCACUGAGAAAUUUUAGAAGGGCAGCAGGGGGGAAAGAAUUUACUUGGGUUGUCCAAGCUUUACCUACUGAGGGAAUAGAGAAUUCCAGGCCCCAGCCCUUUCCAUCUGGUACUAUUUACUGAUCCCAUAGUCAUUCAUGGCUCAGCAGGGGAGGAACUCACCCUGCACUUGGCUGGCUCAAAACUGGUACGCAGAGAAAGGCACAUGACAUAUCGACAUUAAAUGUGCAUUUGACAAGAUGUUUUCUUCUUCUCUCGAGCUCACAACAUUGACACAGGAACUGAUCCUAAACCCACUCUUAUCAAUGAAAAAUAUCUGCCUCCUUUCAGAGAAGCAGGAUGGGCCACGGAUGGUUUUACAUUCAAAUAAUUCAGGGUUUUCAAGCCACCAGGAGUUUUUGUAUCAGUAUUCUCAUAGCACACAGCUAAAAUUAUGGAAUUAAGAGACUGCUGAGUUCAUCCCUUUAGCACUCAGAACCAGUGAAAAUUUUCCAGUGUAUGAUUUACUGCCUGCCUGGCUCAUUUUAACUCCAAAUACUUUUUUUCAAUUUAACACUGCUGAAAGCUUCUGUAAGGAUAAGGGCAGUUCAGGAGGCAAAGAUGAACAUAUAAGGCAACUGGAUGAUAUAUGGAAAAUAUGAAUAAAUCUAAUUGCCAUUGCAGCUGCAAUGAACAAUAAUAACUUUAAUCUGUACAUACAUAUCAUUUCCACAUGACACUCUACAAUAAAUAAGCAUGGAAUUGAUGCUUUUUAAAGAGUAGUUUAAAACCCAUGCUGAACAUACUUCAACCAGUAAGAGAAAUGAGUGGGGGAAAAAAAAGCUUUGAUCCCAAGAAUGAAACCUGAAACAGCUGCUCCUACGCAUUCCAUAAUUUUCCUUCCUGGAUAUGAGCAAAAGAUUUUAUUUCUCAUGGACGGGAGACAGGCAACUGCAAAAAGGCCUUUCUCAUUAAAACCCAAACAUAUGACCAUUCAGAAUUAAUAAACCUUAUGACAUAUUUGAA
Non-coding RNA from Taeniopygia guttata (zebra finch), 3091 nucleotides. The record is from RefSeq and is a predicted model, not a curated record. NCBI's taxonomy places the organism in Eukaryota, Metazoa, Chordata, Aves, Passeriformes, Estrildidae.